RNAcentral lists this ribosomal RNA (484 nucleotides) under uncultured bacterium. RNAcentral describes it as "partial 16S ribosomal RNA". It matches the Rfam family "Bacterial small subunit ribosomal RNA", at positions 29 to 507 of the family's 1533-position model. The record is from RNAcentral.
AAUGAACGCUGGCGGCAUGCCUAACACAUGCAAGUCGAGCGAACGAAGGGGGCGUGUGCCCCGAUGCAGCGGGGGGCGGGUGGGUGAGGCCCACGAGGCUGACCUACCUAGGGGAAUGGGGUCCGUAAACGGGAGCUAAUAUCAUACAGGACAAGAUAUUGAACGGGAGGGUUCUUUGGUGAUAACGGGAUUUGAUGAGACUACGUCGUAUUAGCGAGUUGGUGUGGUAAAGGCGUACCAAGGCGACGAUCCGUAGCUGGUCUGAGAGGAUGAUCUGACACACUGGAACUGAGACACGGUCCAGACUCCUACGGGAGGCAGCAGUAGGGAAUCUUGCGCAAUGGGCGAAAGCCUGAUCCAGCCAUGCCGCGUGAGUGAUGAAGGUCUUCGGAUCGUAAAGCACUGUUAGUAGGGAGGAAGAAAAGUAUGUUUAACCCUGCACGUCUUGACGUUACCUACAGAAUAAGCCCCGGCUAACUUCGUG